UAUUGUUUGUUUCUAUAUAACAAAACAAAAAUGUAAUUUGAUAAAACACAAAAAAAAUGCAGUAAAUAAAA
This 71-nucleotide small RNA is filed under the name Arabidopsis thaliana (thale cress). Its description in RNAcentral is "ATSL223050". The record is from RNAcentral. Lineage: Eukaryota; Viridiplantae; Streptophyta; Magnoliopsida; Brassicales; Brassicaceae.